CAAUGGCCGACAGAGGCUCACGCCUGUGGCGGUGGCUUGGCGAUGGCGACGGGGAAGUCGAUGACGACCACCUUCUCGAGUGCGGCCAUGAACGUGGCGGCGAACGCGGCGUGCUUCUCGUGGGACACGUAGGCGGUGAGGUCGUCGGCGGAGGCGAAGGUGAGGGAGAAGACGUGGGUGAAGCCCUGCGUCAGCAUCUCCUGGUUCAGCACGUCCUGCCCCCUGCAACAACAGUUUCAGUAUUCAUUCGUUCGUUCGUUCAUGGAGGCCAUGAACACAUUGCAAUAUCUAGCUAUGGUAGCCCAUCUCUCUUUUAGUUUAGUGAUCAUCGUGAUACUGUCCUUGCUGGGCAUGUCAGUUUUGAGUAAAGCAGACUCUGAAGAAGUUGGACAGAUACCUGGAUGACUGAACAAAAGCUUGCUUAACACAUUCAGACUUCUAAUAGCAUGCGUUACUACUUGAAGAUGUAGUGUAAAGUUUACCCAAAAAGUUGAAAUGCUGAAUACACAUUCAGCUUCACUGAAGUAAAGCACUAAUAGCUAGUUUCUGAAGAAGUUGCUAUGCGCGCUGAGUGACUGAACGUAAGCCUAUAACACAUUCAGACUCCUACACAUCCUUGACGAAAGGGGGGAAAUGGAGGAGGAAGUGCAAAGGUAACUCGAUCAUCAUAGUGUUACCACUCGAAGGAUUUGACCAUGUCCAUCUGGGCGGCAAGGUCGGCCAUGCCUUUGAGGACGUCCUCCACCACGACGCCCUCCUUGAACUUCACCAGGCACAGGUGCUUCACCUCCCCCAUGCCGCACUCCGAAUGGCUUUGCAGAGAGGAUCGGAGUGCCAAUGCGAUGGACCGUGGCGCCAUGAUGCCCGCCCAAUUUAAGGCCGGAGCACCGACAGAGCUGCUCCUCUCGCGCACUGGGCUGAAUCAUUUCGGCACAGUAAACACGACGCACAGAGCUGCUGGUUUGAGAGCAUGCUGACGCGGUUAGAUCUAGGAUGAGUCGCUCGUGCAUGAUUUCGAUUGGACCGACCGACAUCCAC
This 1038-nucleotide long non-coding RNA is filed under the name Setaria viridis. RNAcentral's name for it is "long non-coding RNA (SVIR_LNC008619)". The record is from RNAcentral. Lineage: Eukaryota; Viridiplantae; Streptophyta; Magnoliopsida; Poales; Poaceae.